CAGUAGUCAUAUGCUUGUCUCAAAGAUUAAGCCAUGCAUGUCUAAGCACAAACUUUUACACAGUGAAGCUGCGAAUGGCUCAUUAGGUCACCCAUGAUUUCUUAGAUCGUACAAUCCUACUUGGAUAACUGUGGUAAUUCUAGAGCUAAUACAUGCAAUUAAGCUCCGACCCCUCGUGGGGAAGAGCGCGUUUAUUAGAUCAAAACCAAUCGGGUCUUCGGGCCCGCACGUUUGGUGACUCUGGAUAACUUCGAGCUGAUCGCAUGGCCUCGCGCCGGCGACGUAUCUUUCAAGUGUGUGCCCUAUCAACUUUCGAUGGUACGUGAUAUGCCUACCAUGGUUGUAACGGGUAACGGGGAAUCAGGGUUCGAUUCCG
Molecule: ribosomal RNA, 376 nt
Filed under: Phreodrilidae sp. P11
Lineage: Eukaryota; Metazoa; Annelida; Clitellata; Tubificida; Phreodrilidae
Also listed under: 1 other name
Description: SSU rRNA
Rfam family: Eukaryotic small subunit ribosomal RNA
Source: RNAcentral